This is a non-coding RNA of Dictyocaulus viviparus (bovine lungworm), 76 nucleotides long. The record is from Rfam. NCBI's taxonomy places the organism in Eukaryota, Metazoa, Nematoda, Chromadorea, Rhabditida, Metastrongylidae.
GCCUCAGUAGUGUUGUAAUAGAUCAGCACGGCAGACCGGAUAUCUGUAAGUGCGGGUUCAAGUCCCGCCUGAGGUU